Molecule: ribosomal RNA, 497 nt
Filed under: uncultured bacterium
Lineage: Bacteria
Description: partial 16S ribosomal RNA
Rfam family: Bacterial small subunit ribosomal RNA
Source: RNAcentral
GAUGAACGCUGGCGGCGUGCCUAAUACAUGCCAGUCGAGCGAACGGACGAGAAGCUUGCUUCUCUGAUGUUAGCGGCGGACGGGUGAGUAACACGUGGAUAACCUACCUAUAAGACUGGGAUAACUUCGGGAAACCGGAGCUAAUACCGGAUGAUAUUUUGAACCGCAUGGUUCAAAAGUGAAAGACGGUCUUGCUGUCACUUAUAGAUGGAUCCGCGCUGCAUUAGCUAGUUGGUAAGGUAACGGCUUACCAAGGCAACGAUGCAUAGCCGACCUGAGAGGGUGAUCGGCCACACUGGAACUGAGACACGGUCCAGACCCCUACGGGAGGCAGCAGUAGGGAAUCUUCCGCAAUGGGCGAAAGCCUGACGGAGCAACGCCGCGUGAGUGAUGAAGGUCUUCGGAUCGUAAAACUCUGUUAUUAGGGAAGAACAUAUGUGUAAGUAACUGUGCACAUCUUGACGGUACCUAAUCAGAAAGCCACGGCUAACUACGUG